CCCUGAUCCACUUCCUUUUUUCCAAAGCACUUUGUUGUUGUUCAAUCUCUCAUCCUAGGGGAAAAAGUGAAAGUGAAAGUCGCUCAGUCGUGUCCGACUCUUUGUCCAUGGAAUUCUCCAGGCCAGAACACUGGAGUGGUCUCUUCCCUUCUCCAGGGGAUCUUCCGAACCCAGGGAUCAAACCCAGGUCUCCCGCAUUGCAGGCGGAUUCUUCACCGACUGAACUAUCAGAGAAGCCCUCAUCCUCGGGGACUGGAAUGCAAAAGUAGGAGGUCAAGGAUACGCAUUAACAGUUGGAGGAUGCUUUACAAUAUUGUGUUGGCUUCUGCCAUACAUCAACAUGAAUCUGCCACAGUGUUAUAUUUUGGACUCACCUCACGGCACACAAGUUCUUAGUUCCUUGACCAGAGAUCAAACUCUUGCCUCCUGUAUUGGAAGCAUGGAGUCUUAACCAUCGGACCGCCAGGGAAGUUCCCAGUUUCUUUUUCUUCUUAAUUGCCUGUGCUGUGGGCUGCAUAAUAGCCCCCACGAUGUCUGCAUGCUAAUUUCCAGAACCUGUGAAUGUGUUACUUUGCAAAUGUGAUGCAAUUAAGGAUCUUGAGAUGGGGCGAUGAUUCCGGAUUGUGUGGCUAUGCCCAAUGUAAUUACAUGGUCCUUGGGACAGAGAAGCAAGAGGGUCAGGGUCAGAACAACAAGAUAUGACAUAGACUCAACUUCAGAGUGAUGAGGGGCCCAAGGCGAGGAACGCAGGCAUCUUCCAGAGACUGGAGAAGGCAAGGAAACGGCUUCUCCCCUCCAGCUGCCAGGAAGAACACAGCUUUGCUGAUGCCUCAGUUUUAUCCCCAUGAGAGCUGUUUUGGACUUGUUACCUCCAGAACUGUAAGAUAAUAAAGCUGUGUUGUUUUAAGGCACCAAGGUUGUGGCCAUUUAGUACAGCAGCAGGAAGAAGCGAAUACAUCCAGUAAAAAUAAAACCUGCCCAAGCACACUGCUUCGUACAAACCAGCCAAUUUCAAGUCCAAAGUGGCACAGUUGGUUCAGAUGACCACACACAUCUUUGUCAGUGUCAGACAGAAUCAUCAAACUCUCGCUCUGGCCAGAACCUCCUUGACUGAAAGUUUCUAAAGAGAGC
Long non-coding RNA from Bos taurus (domestic cattle), 1131 nucleotides. The record is from Ensembl. NCBI's taxonomy places the organism in Eukaryota, Metazoa, Chordata, Mammalia, Artiodactyla, Bovidae.